UUGGCAAGAUAUUCACCUUGCACUCUGGAGCUGCCAUAUGUUUGAAGCCCUUCAUCUCUUGAUCUGGAAACUGAGGCCUUCCUUGAUUCUGUUGGGUGCUGCCUGGUUAUCCUUUCUUGGCUUGAAAGUUCUGCAGCAGCCCUGGCAGCCAUGCUUGCUCGUUCUGCAGAUUCAGCAGCUGCCUGUGCAGCUGCUGUCGCAUCCUUGAAUUCCAUAUUCCAACUCUGCAUACCCACAGAAAAACCACUUUGUUCUGCAGCAAACGAAUGCCUAAAUUCUAUCUCUUCAGAUCCAGUUCCAAUAGAUCUUGGAUCAAGAUUGGAUGUCCCUGAUGGCAUUGCCUGACUAGUACCCACAGCUGGAAAAGGAACAUUUUGGGAAUGUGGUGAUGAUUUUGAAUUGGAUGCAUAUGAGUUGACAGCGUUUUCAUGUUUUUCAUAGUAAUUGGAAGGAGCUUUGAAAUUAGGGUGCCCUUUGUCAAAACUAUUUGGUCGCUCUUGGACAUUAGCAGCCUCUACAUGCAUUUUACUGGCCUGCUCAAAUGUAUUUGGUCCAUUCAGCAAGUCCUCGUGAGGCUUCAUAUCUUUCUCUCCAAAUGAUGUAGGAUCCCAUUUAACAUUAUGUUCCUCAGCGAUGGCACUCAGAAUUUUUAUUUUGGUGGGACCAUCAGGUGAUUUGGCUGACAGUUUUUCCACCAGCAGGCGGCUGACACCACAAUCUGGACGUAGUUCAACAGAUGCAGAGACAAAUUCUUUCCCAUAUUUUGCCGUAAAAUGCUUCCGGACAUCCAUCAAUUCAGGUAUAUCCGCACAUCUUGGAGAUGCAAAAAUUACACUUGCGAUUGCUUCCUUCAAGUCAAUGGGACAAUUUUUUUGCGACUCAAUGAUUGACAAGCGCGCUACAAUAAGUUCACAGUAUAUCUCAAUAAGAUCAUAUGCAGCCAUUGUCUUCUCUUCCCGAACCACAUGCUCAACCCGAAUUCUGGCAGUCUGGUCCUGGCCAGUCUCCAACAAUUGAGCCAAUUCCCUCUUCAGCUGCUUCAGCUGCGCUUCUCUCUUAUUCUUCAAUAAUUUUAUGCGCGAAGCCGCUAGCUUCAAAGCCGUUUUGCAUUUCGCCGGCUUGAAGCUCUUGUGAAGCAUAGCUCUUCAAUAGGCUCUGUUUUUUUCUUUUUUUUUGGACGAAUGAUAGAUUGGAAAAGAGGGAAUUUUGAUUUGUAUAUGAGAAGAAGAGAUUCUGAUCUGCGUGAAAUAAUUAUCAGAGAUCUUAAAUUGGAAAAUAAACAGAGAAUUUGAAGCGCAAGGAAUCGAAAUUUCGCGGAAUCUCUUUUGCCAUC
Molecule: unclassified non-coding RNA, 1333 nt
Filed under: Hevea brasiliensis (rubber tree)
Lineage: Eukaryota; Viridiplantae; Streptophyta; Magnoliopsida; Malpighiales; Euphorbiaceae
Source: RNAcentral